RNAcentral lists this ribosomal RNA (404 nucleotides) under uncultured bacterium. RNAcentral describes it as "bacterial SSU rRNA". It matches the Rfam family "Bacterial small subunit ribosomal RNA", at positions 355 to 775 of the family's 1533-position model. The record is from RNAcentral.
UAGGGAAUAUUGGUUAAUGGGCGAAAGCCUGAACCAGCAACGCCGCGUGCACGAUGACGGCCUUCGGGUUGUAAAGUGCUUUUUGGAGGGAAGAGGAAGGACGGUACCUCCAGAAUAAGUCUCGGCUAACUACGUGCCAGCAGCCGCGGUAACACGUAAGAGACAAGCGUUAUUCGGAUUUACUGGGCGUAAAGCGCGUGCAGGCGGUCUGACAAGUUGGAUGUGAAAGCUCCUGGCUUAACUGGGGGAGGUCGUUCAAAACUAUCAGACUAGAGAGUGGUAGAAGAAGGCGGAAUUCCGGGUGUAGUGGUGAAAUGCGUAGAUAUCCGGAGGAACACCAGUGGCGAAAGCGGCCUUCUGGACCAAUUCUGACGCUCAGACGCGAAAGCUAGGGUAGCGAACGG